AUACGGAGGAUCCGAGCGUUAUCCGGAUUUAUUGGGUUUAAAGGGAGCGUAGGUGGACAGUUAAGUCAGUUGUGAAAGUUUGCGGCUCAACCGUAAAAUUGCAGUUGAUACUGGCUGUCUUGAGUACAGUAGAGGGGGGCGGAAUUCGUGGUGUAGCGGUGAAAUGCUUAGAUAUCACGAAGAACUCCGAUUGCGAAGGCAGCUCACUGGACUGCAACUGACACUGAUGCUCGAAAGUGUGGGUAUCAAACAGGAUUAGAUACCCUGGUAGUCCACACAGUAAACGAUGAAUACUCGCUGUUUGCGAUAUACAGUAAGCGGCCAAGCGAAAGCAUUAAGUAUUCCACCUGGGGAGUACGCCGGCAAGGGUGAAACUCAAAUGAAUUGGCGGGG
RNAcentral lists this ribosomal RNA (393 nucleotides) under uncultured bacterium. RNAcentral's name for it is "partial 16S ribosomal RNA". It matches the Rfam family "Bacterial small subunit ribosomal RNA", at positions 523 to 918 of the family's 1533-position model. The record is from RNAcentral.